This 23-nucleotide non-coding RNA is filed under the name Callorhinchus milii (elephant shark). Lineage: Eukaryota; Metazoa; Chordata; Chondrichthyes; Chimaeriformes; Callorhinchidae. The record is from RNAcentral. RNAcentral also lists the same sequence under 7 other names.
UGGCUCAGUUCAGCAGGAACAGG